GACGAACGCUGGCGGCGUGCUUAACACAUGCAAGUCGAGCGGUAAGGCCCUUUCGGGGGUACACGAGCGGCGAACGGGUGAGUAACACGUGGGUGACCUGCCCUCAGCUCUGGGAUAAGCCUGGGAAACCGGGUCUAAUACCGGAUAUGACUCCAUGACGCAUGUUGUGGGGUGGAAAGCCUUGUGCGGCUGAGGAUGGGCCCGCGGCCUAUCAGCUUGUUGGUGGGGNGAUGGCCUACCAAGGCGACGACGGGUAGCCGGCCUGAGAGGGCGACCGGCCACACUGGGACUGAGACACGGCCCAGACUCCUACGGGAGGCAGCAGUGGGGAAUCUUGCGCAAUGGGCGAAAGCCUGACGCAGCGACGCCGCGUGAGGGAUGACGGCCUCGGUGUAACGUACUUC
Molecule: ribosomal RNA, 404 nt
Filed under: uncultured bacterium
Lineage: Bacteria
Description: bacterial SSU rRNA
Rfam family: Bacterial small subunit ribosomal RNA
Source: RNAcentral